UGAGUACGAGAUGCUACGGCAUUGAAGCAGUCUAUGUCAUACUUCCAAGAAAAGCUUGCACUGUCAUAAACAAAGAAUGCCUGUACCAUAACCGACACAGGUGGGUAGGUAGAGUAUACUAAGGGGCGCGAGAUAACUCUCUCUAAGGAACUCGGCAAAAUGACUCCGUAACUUCGGGAGAAGGAGUGCCUUAUUUUUAAGGUUGCAAUAACAAGAUCCAAGCAACUGUUUAUCAAAAACACAGGUCUCCGCUAAGUCGUAAGACGAUGUAUGGGGGCUGACGCCUGCCCAGUGCCAGAAGGUUAAAGAAGUUGGUUAGCAUUCGCGAAGCUGAUAACUGAAGCCCUGGUGAACGGCGGCCGUAACGAUAACGGUCCUAAGGUAGCGAAAUUCCUUGUCGGGUAAGUUCCGACCCGCACGAAAGGCGUAAUGAUUUGGAUACUGUCUCGGAGAGGGACUCGGUGAAAUAGACUUGUCUGUGAAGAUGCGGACUACCUGCACCUGGACAGAAAGACCCUAUGAAGCUUUACUGUAACUUGAAAUUGAAAUUGGACUUUAGUUGCGCAGGAUAGGUGGGAGGCGUUGAGAAUAUUCUUGCGGGAGUAUUGGAGCCAUCAGUGAGAUACCACUCUUCUAAUGUUAGAUUUCUAACUUUGUAUCAUUAUCUGGUCAAAGAACAGUUUCAGGCGGGCAGUUUGACUGGGGCGGUCGCCUCCUAAAGGGUAACGGAGGCGCACAAAGGUUUCCUCUGAACGAGUAGAAAUCGUAUCUAGAGUGUAAAGGCAUAAGGAAGCUUGACUGUGAGACCUACAAGUCGAGCAGGGACGAAAGUCGGUCUUAGUGAUCUGACGGUGCUGAGUGGAAAGGCCGUCACUCAACGGAUAAAAGUUACUCUAAGGAUAACAGGCUGAUCUCCCCCAAGAGUUCACAUCGACGGGGAGGUUUGGCACCUCGAUGUCGGCUCAUCGCAUCCUGGGGCGGUAGUACGUCCCAAGGGUUGGGCUGUUCGCCCAUGAAAGCGGUACGCGAGCUGGGUUCAGAACGUCGUGAGACAGUUCGGUCCAUAUCCGGUGUAGGCGUUAGAAUAUUGAGAGGAGCCUUCUCUAGUACGAGAGGACCGAGAAGGACAUACCUCUAGUGUACCAGUUAUCGUGCCAACGGUAAACGCUGGGUAGCUAUGUAUGGAGUGGAUAACCGCUGAAAGCAUCUAAGUGGGAAGCCCACCUCAAGAUAAGUAUUCU
Molecule: ribosomal RNA, 1241 nt
Filed under: metagenome
Description: bacterial LSU rRNA
Rfam family: Bacterial large subunit ribosomal RNA
Source: RNAcentral